This 2342-nucleotide long non-coding RNA is filed under the name Sorghum bicolor (sorghum). RNAcentral's name for it is "long non-coding RNA (SBIC_LNC006564)". Lineage: Eukaryota; Viridiplantae; Streptophyta; Magnoliopsida; Poales; Poaceae. The record is from RNAcentral.
AUAUCGUAAGUAAGGAUGGUUAGGAUGGCCAAUCCAGGAUUCCUAAUUAUUGUUACCAGACUGCAGUGCUAAGGUCGGCGCCAUUAAAGGCCUUGGGUUAUCUCUCUGACGUAACGAUAGUUAUGGUAUACCAACACCCGAUAUUUCUGGUGCCAUUGCUAAUGAUGGAUUUAUAGUCUAUCUUUAGUAGUGAUGCUAAGAAAUGCCAACACUCUAUAAAAAUGAAAAUAUAAAAAUAAGAUUGUGAUCCUACCAAAGCGAGUAACAUUUAUUGAGGAGGCUCAACAUGAUAAAGGCUAGAUAUUUAUGCUAGCACUUAAUUAGUUCCACAAAGCUUUGUUGUCUAUUUGAGCUCCACAGAAUUCAAGGAUCAAGAAGACUAGCAGACGGAGGACAUCCUAAUCGCUGUCAGGGCGCUGCCGACAUUCAAAUACACCUUCGCCACCUGCUAGCUACAUCAAAAGAAAUUACGUCAAAAUCCAGCUUGGGGGAGAGCACCCCUAUUUAUCCAGCUAAGUGUUUCUACUCACGUUUAUAUGUUACUCACAUAAUAAAAUGAUACAUAAUCAUAAAAACCCAGAUAAAGAUUUUGUGCUUAUAUAUAUUUACUUUUUCUUAGUUUUCUAAAUAAAUAAAUCAAGUGGCUAUGCUAAACUGAAUCUUAAUAAUAAACUCUAGCAUGGAUAUUAUGAAUAGUUGCUCAGACUAAUUUUCAAAUUUGAAGCUCUCUCUCUCGAGUUUAGACAUAACUGUUAUAAUUUAAAGCUUGCUCUAAACCUGAACUUGUGGGAAGAGAACUUUAUCUAAAGUCUAAGUCGUUAACGGAUAUGAUAUGGGAAGCUUGAGCUGUUCUUUAACUAUUUCUAGAGAUGCUAGAAUUCUGGAGAAUUUUUUCUUUGAAAAUCUUAAAAAAAUGUUGCAUGAUGAGUUCAUGUACGAUGAGAGUUUAAAUUCGUACCACGGCCAUACAUACAUGCUUGCUAGACUAUGAACUAUACAUUUACUUUUUUUACUACUUAUGAGCAUUGAGUGUGGUCAAGCUGUGUAGACCCUUAGGAGCUUGUUAUGCGGUUAAAAUCAAGAUUCACUUGCACGUUCACUCAUACAUGCUGCUUCUACUCCGGAAGUACGCAUCCACCUACAUCCACUCAUUUCCAUCUCUAGAUUCACCCAACAUUAUUCUACUCCUAUCCAGGACCGAAUAGCCAAAAAUAUUAUCCUAUCCAUGUUAUUCCCCGUGAAAUAAAUGCUCGAGAUAUUUUGGUUACUACCAGUUGCUACAUUGUUCCAGGAGGGUGAGUGCUAUAAAAAAAGAGAAGAAAAAGGAAAAAUACGAGGAAAUAAAAAGGGGCAAGUGCCCGGAACCUCGAAGAAAAGAAAAAGUGAGACGAGAGGUAAAAAUGGACAAGUUUCCGACAGUAGAAUUAGGGGUACAGGAUACCCACCUGAAAGAAAAGAAAAAGAAAAUAUAUAGCAUCUCAUUCUCCUCAUAAAGCUUCAAGGUGCAAGAAAGGUAUGUAUCCCCUCAAAAGAGCAAAAGUAGAAUUAGACUUUCACCAUUGUUUUCACCAUCGUUACCAUACACCAUUCAUUCGCCACACAUGCACAUCUUGAUAUUGACUUAUUGACUUGUUUCUCUGGAUCCAUGGUUUGACUUUGCAAUAAAUGUCUUGUAAGUAUGUAUACUUUAUCUCCCACCUAUGAGCUCCAGAUAUCAAAGCCUUAUUAGAGUAGGAUGAGAGAGAAGGCAAUGUCACUAUGCUUCAUACCACAAAUACUACAUACUUUGAGAGAAGGCAUAUACCAUCACUGCCUUGGUAAGGAUCCAAAAAUACCAGAAAAGUGAGAAUUGAGAGAGUCAUACAAGGAAUCUCUAAGUUUUAUUUUGAAAAUCUGCAAAAACUCCAGAGCUAUAGUUGAUCAAAGAACAAGAGACAUGGCGCUUGACUUGACCAUUCUAUCUUUUAACUGCUCAAGACAUAAGUGACAGUUGCAAGCCCCAUGGUGGAAGGUAAAAUGAGUAAGUUUUAAGUCUUAACAGUUUACUCUAACUCAAAGAUAAGACCUUGUUUGAGAGCAUGUGUACCGUCAACUUUCUAAGGCAUUACAGCAACUUCUGAUCCAUCACUAAGUGUAUCCUUGCUCAGGGACGAGCAAGAGGUAAGCUUGGGGGAGUUUGUUGACGGUCCUUAAGUAUCAAACUUAAUCAUCAAAUAAAUAAAGAAAAGGAUCCAAAUGCAACCAACACCCAAACUUAGGGUUUUAUCUCACAGAAUUCGAUGUGUUUUGGUGUUUCUCUAUUUCUGCAGGGGGUUAUCAGGAAAUAUGGAGGAAAGGCCCAC